Molecule: ribosomal RNA, 499 nt
Filed under: uncultured bacterium
Lineage: Bacteria
Description: bacterial SSU rRNA
Rfam family: Bacterial small subunit ribosomal RNA
Source: RNAcentral
GAUGAACGCUAGCGGCAGGCUUAAUACAUGCAAGUUGAGGGGCAGCAUGAUAUACGCGAGUAUAUUGAUGGCGACCGGCGGACGGGUGAGUAAUAGGUAGGAGACCUACCUCAUACAGGGGGAUAGCAUAGAGAAAUCUGUGGUAAUACCCCAUGAGGUUAUAUGAAUAGAGGCAUAUAAUCAAAGCAUAAGUGAUUAUGCGGUAUGAGAGGGGCCUACUGACCAUUAGCUAGUUGGUGAGGUAAGGGCUCACCAAGGCGAAGAUGGUUAGGGGUUUUGAGAGAGAGACCCCCCACAUUGGAACUGAGAGACGGUCCAGACUCCUACGGGAGGCAGCAGUAGGGAAUAUUGGGCAAUGGGCGAAAGCCUGACCCAGCCAUACCGCGUGAAGGAAGACGGCCUUAUGGGUUGUAAACUUCUUUACUACCGCGAAUAGAGGUUAGUACGAGAUACUAAUAGGAAGGUAGUGUAGUAAAAGCACCGGCUAACUCCGUGCCAG